Molecule: non-coding RNA, 68 nt
Organism: Nematostella vectensis (starlet sea anemone)
Lineage: Eukaryota; Metazoa; Cnidaria; Anthozoa; Actiniaria; Edwardsiidae
Source: Rfam
CCUUAACGAGAAUCUGAUACGGUUCCAGUCAGACCGGAGGGGAAAGAAGCUAAUACGGGUUUGCAACC